Molecule: long non-coding RNA, 1607 nt
Filed under: Lynx pardinus (Iberian lynx)
Lineage: Eukaryota; Metazoa; Chordata; Mammalia; Carnivora; Felidae
Source: RNAcentral
AUUUUUAGGAAUAAGUAUGUAGUUUUUGACAUUCAGUGAAGAAAAAGAAUGAAUCAGAGGUCCAGUAUAGAAUGCAUCAUCCAUUGGUUCUAUAUUUAACGUACGAAAUCUUAAAAGAAGAACUGAGAUGUUGUAAGGGUCUUUGUUUACUUUUAGUUUGGCAUUGUUUUUUCCAGGAAUUCACAAGUUAAAAAAAUGUUUCUUUGGUUAUUAGAUAGCAUUAACCAAGCAUCCAGAAACAUUUUUUUCAAAGCCAAAUCUUUAACAAAGCUAUCAUUUUGAUUUGGGAGUCCGUUUUGGGUUCUCCACAAUGAUGUAGAGGUAGGCCUUGUCAAUUACCUUACUGUCUAAAUCUAGUAAGGUUCCAGAGUGUGUUGGUUUAAGAAAGAAGUUUAGAAAAUGUGGGAAUGAGGGGAAAGAAAAGAAGAACACAUUACACAAUCUAUAUCUAUUAACAGGAUGCACAUAACAAUUACUUAGGCAAUUAGUCACUCAGAGUGAGAGCUGUUAGUAUCCAUGAUGGAAAAAGUACACAAAUAAUACUAUAAAAAAUUAGUGAGAGAUUCAAGAUGUUGCCAUGAUGUUAAUAUGAAGAUCUGAUGUUGAGAAGAACUAUAUCACUUCUGAUAUCUUCAAGCUUAAAUACUUAAAAAUAUAGAUUGUAAAAUUUCACCUUGUUACUUGACUUAAAUUAAAUUAGUUCCAAUGAAGAAUUUUAAAAAUAUAUGUUUGAGGUGAAAAACUGAAUAUCCCCUGGUAUUCUUGCCUCCUUUAAAACUUGUUUUCAUAUUUAAGAAAACUCAGAAAAUUUUCUCAGAUACCCCAAGGACACUGAAUCUUACAGAGAUUUUAAUGCCAAUGUAAUAUAUUAAUCUGUUGGUUUUUCCUUAAAUGUGUACUUGGGUCUCAUAUGGCCUGCCUGAUGCCUUGCUUGGCGAUUAAAAGAAAACCAUUUUAGUGUUUCAAAAAUAUAAUAAGAUGCUUAGGUAAAGUCUAUCAGCCAGAUUUGUUUGUUUGUUUUGGCUUUCUCUCACCUUGAAUCUCUUUCAUGUUGUUCAAGAUGGGUAUUAAAUUUGCUCAGAGACGUUAGUCUCAUUCUGAAGCACACCAAUGCUUCUCAAAUUACCAUCCUGCUAUAAUGAAAGGUACCACCAGAACACUUGAAGAUAUAUCUGACCUUCAAGCAGAGGUCACUCAAUUUGUCCCUAAGUCUAUUGUAUUAAUAACAAUGGACAAACAAAGAUAAUGAGAAGAAAGAAGAAACAAAAUUAAAAGUUUCACCUUAACUUUCCCAGCAUUUUCGUCAUCUUCCUUUUUUUCUUCAAAUUCAAAGGCAACAGUCAUGCGUUGUUGUCUCUGCUCUUCCCACAGUGUUGGGUUAAAGCUGUCACUGUCUGACUGGAAAUCUACAGUUAGAUUCCAAAGUAUUAUUGCUUUUUUUUACAUGAAGUGUUAUUAAUAGAGCUUAGUACACUAUGCAAAAAAAUGGCAAUAGGUACUAUAAACAAGUACAAAAUCAAAAAAAAAAGGAAAAAUAAAGAGAAAGAAAGAAAGAAAGAAAGAAGAAAGGAAAGAAAAAGAGAGGAAAGGUCCUUUGAUAUUUGUUA